This 303-nucleotide ribosomal RNA is filed under the name uncultured bacterium. RNAcentral's name for it is "partial 16S ribosomal RNA". It matches the Rfam family "Bacterial small subunit ribosomal RNA", at positions 507 to 807 of the family's 1533-position model. The record is from RNAcentral.
AGCAGUCGCCACGGUAAUACGGAGGAUCCAAGCGUUAUCCGGAAUCAUUGGGUUUAAAGGGUCCGUAGGCGGUCUUGUAAGUCAGUGGUGAAAGCCCAUCGCUCAACGGUGGAACGGCCAUUGAUACUGCAGGACUUGAAUUAUUGGGAAGUAACUAGAAUAUGUAGUGUAGCGGUGAAAUGCUUAGAGAUUACAUGGAAUACCAAUUGCGAAGGCAGGUUACUACCAAUUGAUUGACGCUGAUGGACGAAAGCGUGGGUAGCGAACAGGAUUAGAGACCCCCGUAGUCCCUGUCUCUUAUAC